This 658-nucleotide long non-coding RNA is filed under the name Spirodela polyrhiza (greater duckweed). RNAcentral's name for it is "long non-coding RNA (SPOL_LNC000415)". Lineage: Eukaryota; Viridiplantae; Streptophyta; Magnoliopsida; Alismatales; Araceae. The record is from RNAcentral.
CGACGACAAUGGCCCGGAAUUGGAGCUGCUUGCCGCCCUUGACGACCUUGGUGACUCGCCUCACCUGCACCACCCGCUCGUCGAAGCCGUCCUUUGCCUUCUCCUUCUUCCGCUGGCUGCCGAAUCCGCUCGACUUCUUGAGCUUGGAGUCCAUCACGUAGACGUCAUUCCCAAGGACAGUGACCCCGCUGUAAGCGGCGCCGUAGAUCUCCUCGUAGGCGGCGGCGACCUCGUCCUCGGACUCCGGGGGGAGCUCGUAGAAGGGCACCGGCGGCACGUAGCCCUCCGGCGGCGCCGGCGGCUCGAAGGGGACCUCCUCGUUGGGGUUCACCUCGUCGAAGAAGGUGGUGUCGAUGUCCUUCGAAUCGCCGGCGGCGGCGGCUGCCGGCGUCGGCUGCAUGCGCCGCCCGGAGAGCAGGAAAGGGGGGCAGCGGGUGCCCCUGGCGAACGCGAAACCCGGGAAAGCGGACGAUGAGGAGGAGGAGGAGGAGGAGAGGGAGGAGGGGCGGAUGGAGAGGGAGGAGAAGGAGGAGAGAGCAGUCGCGGCGGCCAUGGCGAUGCUGCCCACAGGGGAUCAGAAAGGCCGCAGCUUUGCGGGGUAAACGAGAGCAGCUGCUGCUCCUCCGAGGGGCGCCCCCAACUUUAUCCACCCCUCUAU